UCCUGGCCGUAAACGCUGUGGGCUAGGUGUUGCAUGCUCUACGGGGGCGUGCAGUGCCGAAGAGAAGUUGAUAAGCCUACCGCCUGGGAAGUAUUACUGCAAGGUAGAAACUUAAAGGAAUUGGCGGGGGAGCACCACAAGGGGUGGAGUCUGCGGUUCAAUUGGAUUCAACGCCGGAAAUCUCACCGGGGGCGACGGCAGAAUGAUGGCCAGGCUGAAGACCUUGCUUGACGAGCCGAGAGGAGGUGCAUGGCCGCCGUCAGCUCGUACCGUGAGGCGUCCUGUUAAGUCAGGCAA
This 297-nucleotide ribosomal RNA is filed under the name uncultured bacterium. RNAcentral's name for it is "partial 16S ribosomal RNA". It matches the Rfam family "Archaeal small subunit ribosomal RNA", at positions 745 to 1041 of the family's 1478-position model. The record is from RNAcentral.